GGAGGAUGUUUGUUAAAAAAGUAAAUUUGGUGGUGUCUUGUAAUCCCAUGUGGGAUGGGCCAACAUGUUUGGCAUGACACAGAAAUAAAAAAUG
Molecule: long non-coding RNA, 94 nt
Organism: Etheostoma spectabile (orangethroat darter)
Lineage: Eukaryota; Metazoa; Chordata; Actinopteri; Perciformes; Percidae
Exons: 4
Source: RefSeq, a predicted model, not a curated record